This is a long non-coding RNA of Vulpes vulpes (red fox), 3059 nucleotides long. The record is from Ensembl. NCBI's taxonomy places the organism in Eukaryota, Metazoa, Chordata, Mammalia, Carnivora, Canidae.
CUUCUGUCUGUACCUACCCCAACCCUGCUCAGCAGCCCCACCCUUACCCCCAGAGAUAACCAACAAGAUCCCCACCGUCAUUCAAGGUUUACUCCAACUACCACUUCCUGUGCAAAGCUUGCCUUGAUCCCCUUGGGGGAAACAACGUCCUUCCUCUGUGGUGACACAGCUCUCUACUGAACUGUGAGUUAGUAACUUUUCAUGCUGCCUUGUGCACUGCAUAAUGGCAGGAACCAUGUUCCUUUUCACCCUGGAAACCUCAUGGUGUCUGACACAUCUGAGAAGUUGGAUACUCCUCAGACAGGCAUAGCAGAGCUGGGGUAGGGCCGAACUGACCCGCACACAGAGAGCAUCACCCUCAAUCCUCAGCCCUGCCCACCUCUGUGUCUGGUGCACCCAACCCCCAGUAUCGUGGUCACUCCUCUGGGUUACUGUUGGAGGGGCUGCUCAGAGGCAAGUACAUCACCUGGGUGGGGGACAACACAUCACCCACUGUCUCCAGGGUCACAAUAGGGAGCAUGACUCAAGGGAAUGAGACAGGGGAGGGAGAGCCCUGACAUAGGAGUAAAAACCAACCAAACUGUCGGAUAUAGAAUCAGAGUGAGGAGCGCAGCUGUAGGCAAGCACCUGUCUCAAGGGCUCAGAGCAUCUGAGGUAGUAUCAGAGCUCAGAGUUUCAGAACUGAGGAGAAAACUAUUGCUACAAAAGGAGAGGCAGAUGUGGAAAAUUUCCUCCUCCUUGGGGCAGGGGUUAUGAGGAGCAGAUCUAAGCCAUAGUGUGACAGCCUUUGAGGUUUCCCUUCCUCCAUCGAGACCAAUGGCCAGACAGAGACAGCAAGUGCACGCCUGAGAAUCCAGAAGCAUUCUGGGAAAUGGUGUAAGCAAAGCAUCGGAGGCAUUUAUCAAGAAAAUCUGAAUAUCAACCGUCAAGCCCCAGGCCGAGGGGAGCUGGGAAUAUUUCAGGGCACAUUAACCACUGUUGUGGAUGCACACACAGAAGUCUCUGGAUCCAGCAUUGAGCAAAAACCCAUCUGUGAUGCCAAUCCUGACAACAGACAGAAAGAGGACAUUAACACUUUCGGGUCUCUCGAGAAGUGUGGAGCAGGAGCAGGGGAGUGCAGGGAGGCAGAUCCGUCCUCUGCACCCCAUGCCCCCCCAACCCAGGCUUCCUCAGAAGUGGAGCGAGCCCAUGUCAAAGAGAGCUGGAGGCACAGGCAUCACACGUCAGAUGCAGGGCCACCAGCAGCUGAGCUCCGAGCUCACUGUAGCCGCCCCAGGAAGCAGCGCGUCCUGCUCGCAGGGGCUAGAGAGACGGCGCAGACUCCCACCGACGGGCACGAGGCCCACCUCACCUCCAGCACGCCCCAACUGUACCGCGCCGGACAGUUGUGACCUCCCCUUGUGACCUACCGAGGAACAAAGAUUAGGUUUGCUCAUCUGUGAGAGGCAGCUGCCCGGGAGACCUCGUUUGCAAUCUGGCUCCCCUCUUUUGGCUCCUGGUGAGAGUUUAAAUGUUCUCCUAUAUACACUCUCUCCCCCAGCACCCCACACCCUUGCCUCAGAAGGGUCAGCCAUGUGACACCAGAUAGCCCCCUGCUCUGGGCUACAUUUACACCUCUUUGCUCCAUUCCAGCCUCACCCUUUGUUCUGGCUGCCAAACCCAAAAUGGAUUCCAUAAGUAUCCUGCUCCCCAAAUGUUGGUCCAAAUGGCAGCCUGCAGGUCUGGGAACCCUAGGGGCCUGACAGGCAGUUGAGCUGAAUGACAGGCCUGGGAUCAAACCACAUUUUUGUCCUCUGACUGCAGCCGAGCAUCUUGGGCUAGUCAGGGACAGCCUCCUCUUGCGAUGUCCUCUCCUCCACAGAAGCCUGACCGCUGUGACCUUGGUAAAUGCUGAGCAGAUGGAAAAGGAGACUUUGGCAAUCACAGAAGCAUCGUGUCCCCUGAUUCUGGCACCCCCGCGGGAGAAAAGAAGCCGAUCAGAGACUUGGUGUGUCGAUGUGCACCGAGUGAGCACCUACCGUGUGUCUAGGACUGAGGCUGGCACAGCCGGAGAGAAAGGGUGGGCAUUUCUAGCACAUGCUUUCUUCCACUGCUGAGGAUAACACACCUCAGCCCCCCUUCACGUCGGGGGAGGCAGAGACAGAGGAAGUGAAGGGGGGGAGACUGCUAGUAUGUUUUCUCCUAAAGUGCUCUUGACACAUUUUCCUGUUGGCAGGUGGUGGCAAAAACCUACAACUGGAAGGUUUAAGUAAAAAUGGAGCACACAGAUGGGUGUCCGGUUUUUAGGUGGCUGCUCCCGUGCUGAAACACGCGGCUCACCCUUCUCCAACAGGCUUAAAAUGGGCUCUAGCAACUGUUCAAGGGCCAAACACUUGGCACUCGCCAGGGUACUUGCCCCUGACCUUUCUCAUCACCCUGGCCCUCUCCUUAAUUGCUAUGGCAGCAGCUGGCUCCUCCCCAGCCAGCACACCCCCUCCCUUGGCUUCCCACCCUCCCCGUCUUUGCAAAAUGGACAUCUUGGCACCUCUAUGUGUCCUGCUUUAAACCCACUAGUGAUUUCCAUUACUCAUGGCACAGGUCCCACUUCCCUGAAUGGCUAAGCACACCUCAUAUGGCUGGGCUCUUCCUUCCCCUCCCGCCUUCCCUCAUCAUUUUCUGUCCUCAAGUUUUUAAGGUCCAGCCACUCGGGCCUCUGUUUAGUCCCUGGACCCUGUUUUUGCCCUUUCCCACCUCUGGAAGCUUACUUAUGCUGCUCCUACCACCUUCCCCACCCCACUCCUCUCUGACCUCCUUCCAGCGGCCCUCUCUGACCUGUCUGUCCUUCAGACCCAGACCCAGCUUAGGGAUCUUCCUGGACAUCUAGAACUCGGGCGGUUCCCUGUUCCGACCCCUCCAAUGGCUCACAUAAAUUCUCACUCUUAACACUCAUCAUACCCUGUUGUAUGCAGGUGUUAAGUACCUUGCUGCUUGGACCAGAAGCUCUGUGAGGGCAGAGAUCACAUCUGUCCUGCUCAUUGCCAGCAACUAAUAAAGUGAUGGCCAAUGGUUUUGCUGUGCCA